UCUCUACUCGCACACUACUGAGAGCUCUUUCUAGAUUCUAUGGGUGGUGGUGAAAUCACAGGAGAAAAAAAGGUGGUCAGUGCUCUCUAAUUCCGUUAACGAACGAGACCUCAGCCUGCUAACUAGCUAUGCGGAGGUAUCCCUUCGUGGCCAGCUUCUUAGAGGGACUACGGCCUUUUAGGCCGCGGAAGUUUGAGGCAAUAACAGGUCUGUGAUGCCCUUAGAUGU
RNAcentral lists this non-coding RNA (228 nucleotides) under Erythranthe guttata (spotted monkey flower). RNAcentral describes it as "Mimulus guttatus (spotted monkey flower) Eukaryotic small subunit ribosomal RNA". It matches the Rfam family "Eukaryotic small subunit ribosomal RNA", at positions 1223 to 1480 of the family's 1831-position model. Lineage: Eukaryota; Viridiplantae; Streptophyta; Magnoliopsida; Lamiales; Phrymaceae. The record is from Rfam by way of RNAcentral.